Long non-coding RNA from Vespa velutina, 1166 nucleotides. RefSeq lists it as uncharacterized. The transcript has 2 exons. The record is from RefSeq and is a predicted model, not a curated record. NCBI's taxonomy places the organism in Eukaryota, Metazoa, Arthropoda, Insecta, Hymenoptera, Vespidae.
UUUUGGACUCAUAUCAAAUUAAUAUAUAUAUAAAUAUAUAUAUAUAUAUAUAUAUAUAUAUAUAUAUAUAUAUAUCAUAACGAUGAGUGCUUCUCUUUCGAUAUUCUUGAUACUACAACGAGUAGGCACAUGGCCCGCGUGACCAUUCUAACCUCAAAUUAUGACUAUUAUAUGACAUAUAUAUACAUCUCGUUAAAAGCAUUCCUAAGUGAGGUGUAUCUCAGGUUAAAAAUAUACGAUAAGAAAUUGUUAAAAUUAUAAACUGUAAAAAAUAUGAAGAUUAAGAAAAUAAAAAUGACUCACCGGCAUUCGAAAUGUAACGCGGUGUACUCGUGGCAACCACCGUACUGUAUCCUUGGGACAGAUGAUGAACACCAGGAUUAUUAACGUUAACGUUGACUACAAGCGGAUGUUGCUGAUGUGGAUUAUGAUGUUGCUGUUGAUGAUGAUGAUGGUGAUGGGCCAGGUGAUGUUGUUGCUUCCCUUUCGUCGGCAUGCUCAUAAACGUCGCAAACCAACCUCUGAAUUAUCCACUACCGUCAAACCUUGCUGCCUUACGUAGCUCGCCUCGGUCCUCAUAGAAAGAAUGAGAAAGGAGUAAGGGAAACGAACGGAGAGAGAAGGACCAAUAAGGAUAGCCAAUCCAUGAAAAGAAUACCAGAUGACGCUCUUAGUCAAACUUACUUCUAUGGAUGCUCGAUGUAAUUAUAUCGAUAAAAAGAUUCCACUCAAUAUGUACUCGCUGGAAAUGAAUAUUUCAUAUUCAUGUUGUUAAAUUAGUUUAAAGAAAUGAUAAUUCUAUCGGAAAUAAUAAUUUAAAAAAUCUCUUAAAGAGUUAAUACUCUUUAAGCAUGUAUUCAGUUUAACCAAUCGUAACGUGUUUAUAUAAUGAAUGUAGAAAGAUACGAAACUUGUAAUUAGCUAUUAUUUGUUAUGUUUGACAUUGACGACCAAUCAUGUCGACCGUAGGAAGAAUCUGAUAUUUAAGAAAACUUCUUAUUGGUUGAAUAAAACUGAUAUAAACUAUAUAGUUUUGUGUUACUCAGAUGUUAUUCAGAAUAUGACGUAAAGGAAGAAAACCAAUCAAAAUAGCGUAUUCGUGUUUUACUGAAAAGCGAAAAGUAUGAUAAUAUUUGUAUCUUUUAAAAUAAAUAUUUGUGAGUAUU